GACGUAGGGCGCGAGCGUUGUCCGGAUUUAUUGGGCGUAAAGAGCUCGUAGGCGGUCUGUCGCGUCGGGAGUGAAAACUCAGGGCUUAACCCUGAGCCUGCUUCCGAUACGGGCAGACUAGAGGUAUGCAGGGGAGAACGGAAUUCCUGGUGUAGCGGUGAAAUGCGCAGAUAUCAGGAGGAACACCGGUGGCGAAGGCGGUUCUCUGGGCAUUACCUGACGCUGAGGAGCGAAAGUGUGGGGAGCGAACAGG
Molecule: ribosomal RNA, 253 nt
Filed under: uncultured bacterium
Lineage: Bacteria
Description: partial 16S ribosomal RNA
Rfam family: Bacterial small subunit ribosomal RNA
Source: RNAcentral